UCGAGAAUCUUUCGCAAUGGGCGAAAGCCUGACGAAGCGACGCCGUGUGUGUGAUGAAGGCCUUCGGGUUGUAAAGCACUUUCGCUUGGGAACGCGUACCAGGUAAAGAAGCACCGGCUAACUCCGUGCCAGCAGCUGCGGUAAUACGGAGGGUGCAAGCGUUAAUCGGAUUUAUUGGGCGUAAAGGGCGCGUAGGCUGAGAAGCAAGUUAGAUGUGAAGGACCGAAGCUCAACUUCGGAAACGCAUUUAAAACAUUUUUCUAGAGGGUAGCGGAGAAAAGGGAUUCCACGUGUAGCGGUGAAAUGCGUAGAUAUGUGGAAGAACACCGGUGGCGAAGGCGCUUUUUCAGCUUAUUCCUGACGCUGAGGCGCGAAAGCAAGGGGAGCAAACAGGAUUAGA
Molecule: ribosomal RNA, 400 nt
Filed under: uncultured bacterium
Lineage: Bacteria
Description: bacterial SSU rRNA
Rfam family: Bacterial small subunit ribosomal RNA
Source: RNAcentral